CCGACCUGUCAAUCAAACUAAUCAUUAUUGACCAAUGAGAAAGCUGCAAAUUAUUCACCGAGUCCCGUCCGCCAUCUUUACCCACAAACACAGCAGCGAUAACUGUUUACAACCGGACAUUUUAUUGAAGUUUUAAGACUGAUUUGUGAAAAUGGUUAAACGAUGCGGAUGGGGAAUAUGUUAUGCAGAUUAAGGUAUCCGGAGGGACUAAAUGGAGGCCGAUUUAAACGAUUUCCGACCUAUAAUUUAAUAUAAUCCGAUAUUGAGAAGUGCAAAUGCUGGAUUAAAGCCUGUGGACGGCCACAAGAGAAACUGAAUGUCAACAGGAUAAACAAGCACGAAGAUGUCUGCUCGAAGCACUUUCAUGGAGGAAAUGGACCAUCUUAAGAGUAUCCUGACCCACCAUCAGCUGAUGGCUGGAGAAUAACAUCUUCAAGAAAACUCCCCACAAAGCGGUCACUUGGAAAGGAAACUUAUGGCAGCAUUUAUACACAAAAUGCAAGUAGAAAAGCUGGUCCAGGAUCCUGCAGACACUGUACCAGGAGUAGAAACACAGACCGAAUGUCCAUGGACGUCACCUUUGGAUGUUUGCACUUUAUACCGCUCAAAAUGCUUCCCUAAAAGAACAGUUGUCACAAAAAGAAGUCCAAGUUGAAGAAUAACAGUCUGCACUUUUAUCAAAGUGUUGUGAAAUUCAGAUUUUAAAGCAACUGGUGGGAAUUUAAACAAACUGUAAAUGUCGAUAUAGUUCUGCUCAAAGAAGCAAUAGUUAAAAUUUGUUUAAAUAUUAUACAGGAAUCAUAUGAUUUUAUUUCUGCUUCUUUGAUAUAAUUGAAUAACUGUUAGUUUAUUCAUGUUUGGAAUAAAGCAUUGUAAAGUGAA
This is a long non-coding RNA of Mya arenaria, 882 nucleotides long. RefSeq lists it as uncharacterized. NCBI's taxonomy places the organism in Eukaryota, Metazoa, Mollusca, Bivalvia, Myida, Myidae. The record is from RefSeq and is a predicted model, not a curated record. The transcript has 4 exons.